GUGGGACAUCAUCAAAGGCAUUGCAUUAAAUCGGACAUCACGUGAGAGAUCAAAGCCAACAUGUGUAAGAUAAAACACAAUUUUAAUCCUUUUUUGAAGUUAAAUUGGAGAUUGUAAGGCCUUCACUCAGAUCGUACAUCAGAUACAGAGAUUGCAAACACAAAAAGACAUUUUGCAAGGCAGAGAAGGGACCAUGGGAGGCAGGACAGACACCAAGAUCGUGGAGGAAGAAGCAGAGAUUAGGCUCCGGACCUAUGUCUCAAUGAUGACCGUUCAAGUCUUAAAGAUAUGUGGCAUACUGCAAGGCUUCGAAGAGGAAGUGUGGGUCAGCUGCGCACAACGUCUGGUAAACAAGACAAUGGAAGGACUGCCAGAGGGAAUAUUCCCAACUAUGACCUCCAAGAAGAUGGCUAUGGCUGUGGUUAAAGAGCUGCGGGCUAAGUUUGGAAAGAAGCUGAAAUACAUGCUGUUUCUAGAAGAUCUGGGUGUGGAAGCUGUCUUAACCGAGUGCUUUCAAUCACACAUCCAAAAGUCGUCAUACAAGAAGUCCUGCCGCUGCUGUAAAUACCUAUUGUACAGCUUCUUCAUAACUUUGGGUGCAGUAGCAAUACUCGCAAUUGGAACUCUGUUCCUCAUCUUGUAGCUCCCAAUCUUAGAGUAUGAUUGUGAUUAUUUAAUAAUGGGUGUGUAUGUGAGUGAUAAAGUACACUUUCAUCUUGAAUCUCCCACAUCUUUCACUUCACACACAUUUGUUUUUGUUUUUUAAAGUGACUGAGAUUUUCUGCAAAUUCAACUUACAUUUAGAUGUCUUCAGCUUCUCUGUUCUGCUAAUUCAAUUUAUAUCCAGCUGUAUUCAACUUCUUCUAAUUAAACUUAUAUUUAACUAUCUUCUCUGUCAAUUAUUAUUAUUAUUACCAGUAUUUUUUAUAUGAUUAUCAUUAUUAUUAUUAAUAAUAUCUAUAAUGUAGCAGCAAUUUGCGGCCUAUAUCUGUUUAUUCACCCUUGAUUUACUCACUGUGUAAACAACCAAUUCAACCAAUUUCCACGUCAAACUUGGCGACGAGUGACUCGGACUCCGUGAUCUGGAUAGAAGGCCAACCAACCAGGAGGAUUCCUCCCUCUGGGUGAGAUGUCCACGGACGGAGCCGGAUCACCGCUCCAAUCCUAAAUGGGUAAAGGUAAAGAACCACGCUCGGUACAAACACCACCAAGUAAAAAAAAAGGUUCCAGCCAUGGAUGAACUUGUCAUCCAUCACAUCCUUGACUCAACAUCCUGCUGGGACGUGUGGUGGGUUCCUGGCAAGACUGCGAGCUGCUUUUGACAUACACAGUGGGCUUGAAAAAGUCCACGCACUGCAUAUGAAAUUCACCUGAAGGAGCACUUUUUUGGGGUCGUAUGGAUCCAUAUAGUGCUACUGCACUCACCAGCAACACUUGGAAGACAGCUGGUCUGGCGGAAAUUUAGCAACAAGCUGUAGAUCAGGCCUCAAGAAAGAGAAAAACAAGAAAAAGAAAGAGAGCACGUUGAAGGAUUAGAGACGGUCAACUCAUGGUGUGUAGUGGCCCUACAGAGGACGCAGCAAAAAAUGGAAAACGCAGGGGCGGUCUCCAAGGGGGACGGGGUGCCUGGGAUAUCGGCCCUCUCCUCCCGAUAUCUGUCAACAAUGUGGACAAAGACUGUCCCCAGAAGAAGCAGGGUCUGACAUCAUCUGUGAAGCCUGCAAUUCAGCAUUCGGACUGAGGUUGAGAGGAGGGGGUGGGUCGACACCUCACACGCACUGCGACACAGCGUUGGACUCCAACUCUUCAUUGGUCAUCCACCCCAGGGGUGUUCACGCGCCCUCUGAGGUUAAAGAGCUCAUCUGCAGGUUGCAGGCCGAAGAACACGGAGCUGGGACUGAAGACCGAUUCAGAGAAUCCACACAGUGAAAAACUCUGCCGACGGAAGUUAAGUCUACUCUGUUUCUCGCUGAAGACCCUGCAACUUUAGAGAAGUGGCACCGUAUGAAAGUCCUCCACCAGCGGAAGAGGAAGAGGAGCGCAUUUAAUUUUGGAUUUGUUUGCCCUGUUAUGUCCAAAAACUCAUUGAACUUGCCCUAGACUGUAAAGGAUGCUUGAAAUAGAAAGAAAAAAAAUGCCACGUGAGUUUAUAUGUAAGAAAUGGUGUCAAAACUGCAUGAACAGAAAACAGAUCCACAUGCAUCCGUUGAUUUGUGGACAUAGAUAUGAAUGUAAGCCCCAUCAAGGGAUGAGCAUUGAUUAGCUUAGGAUGUAAAAUCUGUGGCAUGUAUUGGUUCAUGUUGUAUACCCGUUCCUAGACAAAUAAACAUAAAAAAAUAAAAAGUACAAUAGAAUUUGUAGCUGGAUAUGGUUAUGUUUAAAUAUGUGAUAGACAGCUGACAGCCAACCAGAACCUAACCUUAAUAAAGUAAGUUAGUCUGUAGUCAUUGACCCUCAAUCGCAUGUAUUUUGUUCAUGCGAUUGAGGAGGCCAAGUUACAGUAGUUCUUCCACCCACAGGAUAGUAAACACACCCUGUCUGCAGUCAGAGCAACCAGGGUCCGUACGGGACGUACAUCCCGACUGAGAUUUCAAAAUAGAGAAGAGCAAGUGGUGCAACACUAAAACACAUACUGUGAAGCAGGGAUGUAGUAUUGGAGGCCUCAAUUCGCUAUUUUCGUGACUCGUGACUUGACUCAGACUCGCCUAUUAAUGACUCUGACUUGGAGUCUGACUCGAGGAUUCAUGCAAGAGGACUCGAGCUUUCAUGAAAUCAAACUCGAAGGUGGAUGAAGUCCCUGACAACUUAUAUGUUUAAUACGUCGGUCAAUUUAGUCUGUAACAGUUUCUUGCAAGGGCAGGAUGUGUGUGUCCUCUUCCACCUGCAGAUUCAGCGCGCCCAACGCUGUGAACAAAUUUGGAAGAUGCAGUAGGACGUGCCCCGGGUCGUGAAGUUUGCCUUCACACAUCUCACUUUCACGUCUAGAAAGUGCUCCGUUAAAUGCACAAUUUGCCGGCGUACGAUUGAGGAGAAGUCUGGGACGUCGUCUGAUUUUAACAGACAUCUGUCACGCCGUGACAAUCAGUUAAUAAACUCCCUUUGAAUG
Molecule: long non-coding RNA, 3106 nt
Organism: Scophthalmus maximus (turbot)
Lineage: Eukaryota; Metazoa; Chordata; Actinopteri; Pleuronectiformes; Scophthalmidae
Exons: 4
Source: RefSeq, a predicted model, not a curated record